This 1235-nucleotide ribosomal RNA is filed under the name metagenome. RNAcentral describes it as "bacterial LSU rRNA". It matches the Rfam family "Bacterial large subunit ribosomal RNA", at positions 1564 to 2808 of the family's 2925-position model. The record is from RNAcentral.
UGAGUACGAGAUGCUACGGCAUCGAAGCAGUCUAUGUCAUACUUCCAAGAAAAGCUUGCACUGUCAGAAACAGAUAAUGCCUGUACCAUAACCGACACAGGUGGGUAGGUAGAGUAUACUAAGGGGCGCGAGAUAACUCUCUCUAAGGAACUCGGCAAAAUGACUCCGUAACUUCGGGAGAAGGAGUGCCUUAUUUUUAAGGUUGCAAUAACAAGAUCCAAGCAACUGUUUACCAAAAACACAGGUCUCCGCUAAGUCGUAAGACGAUGUAUGGGGGCUGACGCCUGCCCAGUGCCAGAAGGUUAAAGAAGUCGGUUAGCAUUCGCGAAGCUGGUAACUGAAGCCCUGGUGAACGGCGGCCGUAACAAUAACGGUCCUAAGGUAGCGAAAUUCCUUGUCGGGUAAGUUCCGACCCGCACGAAAGGCGUAAUGAUUUGGAUACUGUCUCGGAGAGGGGCUCGGUGAAAUAGACUUGUCUGUGAAGAUGCGGACUACCUGCACCUGGACAGAAAGACCCUAUGAAGCUUUACUGUAACUUGAAAUUGAAAUUGGACUUUAUUUGCGCAGUAUAGGUGGGAGGCGUUGAAAAUAUUCUUGCGGGAAUAUUGGAGCCAUCAGUGAGAUACCACUCUUGUAAUGUUAGAUUUCUAACUUUAUAUCAAUAUCUGGUUAAAGAACAGUUUCAGGCGGGCAGUUUGACUGGGGCGGUCGCCUCCCAAAUGGUAACGGAGGCGCACAAAGGUUUCCUCUGAACGGGUAGAAAUCGUAUCUAGAGUGUAAAGGCAUAAGGAAGCUUGACUGUGAGACCUACAAGUCGAGCAGGGACGAAAGUCGGUCUUAGUGAUCUGACGGUGCUGAGUGGAAAGGCCGUCACUCAACGGAUAAAAGUUACUCUAAGGAUAACAGGCUGAUCUCCCCCAAGAGUUCACAUCGACGGGGAGGUUUGGCACCUCGAUGUCGGCUCAUCGCAUCCUGGGGCGGUAGUACGUCCCAAGGGUUGGGCUGUUCGCCCAUGAAAGCGGUACGCGAGCUGGGUUCAGAACGUCGUGAGACAGUUCGGUCCAUAUCCGGUGUAGGCGUUAGAAUAUUGAGAGGAGCCUUCUUUAGUACGAGAGGACCGAGAAGGACAUACCUCUGGUGUACCAGUUAUCGUGCCAACGGUAAACGCUGGGUAGCUAUGUAUGGAGUGGAUAACCGCUGAAAGCAUCUAAGUGGGAAGCCCACCUCAAGAUAAG